Micropterus dolomieu (smallmouth bass) is the source of this 1414-nucleotide long non-coding RNA. RefSeq lists it as uncharacterized. NCBI's taxonomy places the organism in Eukaryota, Metazoa, Chordata, Actinopteri, Centrarchiformes, Centrarchidae. The transcript has 7 exons. The record is from RefSeq and is a predicted model, not a curated record.
UCAAUCCGGGCCAGGGCUGCAGCUCCAGCCAUCUGCGCUCCUUCGGUGGGAGCGUGGCGAUUCUUCUUGGCAGUGGAGCUGCUCUGCACCACCUCGGGCUUGUUACGGCUUUUAUGAAGGACAGAAAAAAAGCGAAGUGAGGAGACAUGUUGUGGCUCCACGUUGUCUCCGACCCCAAACAGCCACAAUCUGCUUUAUCGCUGACAUGAGAUAUCCACCUUGCGAUCACCCUUCAUAUAUUCUGACAUACAUCCUCAACUGCUGCAUACCCAAAAGCACAGGUGGCCCAUCUGAGCGUCAGGUGCCGCCAAGCUCGUCAUUAUACCCUGAACAUCAUCCAAGCCAAGUCCAAACCAUGAGAUUUAAACAUAAAUCAACAGUCUAACCACAGCUCUGAAUCACUGUCCAAGGUUGAACUGCAGACGUGAUCAUCAUUUGAACACAAACACACUUUUCAACGGGUUCACUCUGCGAUUUCUUGAAAAAGACGACCUCCACCCACUGACGACCCACUAACAAGGACCAAACCUGUUUCAGCAUGGCAGAUAUAACUCAGCGCUACACUUGGAGCACCGUCGUCGAGGCAAACCCCAACCGGCCCGGCAGCCCGAGGUUAAUCCUGUGAAAGAUCCCAGCACCAGCCCUCUCCGGCAGCUCCUCCCCUACCUCCUUCUCCAACAGGUUUUCCCCUGACUCAGCCAGUAGCACGUCUCCAAGCUUCUCUUUUAGCUCCUCUUCCAGCUCCUCCUCUUCCUCCAGCUCCUGGUCCUGCUCUUCAUGUGUCUCCUCCUCUCGCUCUUCCUCUAACUCAUCCUGUAGCCCUCCUAGAUUCUCCCCCAGCUCCUCCCCAGGCUCUCCUCCUAGCAGAGGACCAGAGGAUGAACUUUGAAGGUGCUUAAUGAUCAGAACAAGAUCAUCCUCAGAAUGCUGCCAAUAGCGAGCUCCCCUGAAUAACCCAGCGAGGUUUGGACAUGGAGCCCCCCUGAGAGUCCUCAGACUGCCAUCAAGCCUCAUCUGACAGCUGGCCCCGAACUGAAGUGAGUGAGGAACCUGCGGGCCCUCAUGGGGGAGGGAGGCAGGCAGCGUGGCAGCAUUGGAGCUCGAACUUUGAGUGACUCCAGGACUGAACAGAAGAACCCAGAGGACACUGAUAGUAGACAAGAGACGAGAGACACCCAAAAGUGAAACAUAGACCUGUCUUUGGGAGGUUCCAAGCCCUACAGGAUGUGACCGAGAUGAGCAGCAGCUCCAGGAUGAGGAAAGAAAUGAGAAACAAACCAGGAUCAGAACAUUAGACGACCAACACACAGUAAUCCAAAGAUUAAAAAUGGCUGUCUCCAAGAUUCUCAAUUAUUAAAAUCGACACGAUCAAACUGUGUAAAAGAAGUGCCUCAUUAAAAAAGUCAAACAAGAA